AUGGCCACAAGUUUUUUCCAGGAGCUCUUCACCAAAGAUAAUCAGAUCGAACCUAAGAUUAUUCUUGACCAUGUCCAAGGCCGGGUUAAUGCCGCUAUGAAUGAUACGUUAUGUAAAGAAUUCACCAAUGAUGAGAUUGCAAAUGCUUUAUUCCAAAUCGGGCCACUAAAAGCUCCUGGGGCAGACGGCUUCCCGGCUCGUUUUUUUCAGAGACACUGGGCUACGUUAAAAGAUGAUAUUAUUCAGGCUAUAAAGGAAUUUUUUUCGGAUGGAGUUAUGCCUGAUGGGGUGAAUGAUACAGUUAUUGUCCUUAUUCCAAAGAAGAAAGAUCCAGUUAAGUUGAAGGAUUUCAGACCAAUAAGUUUAUGCAAUGUUGUUUAUAAAAUCAUAGCUAAGUGUCUGGUAAAUCGCCUUAAACCUUUGCUCGAGGAUAUUAUAGCCCCCACCCAAAGUGCCUUCAUUCCUGGGAGGAUGAUUACGGAUAACGCCUUAAUAGCCUUUGAGUGUAUAAAUACCAUGCAAAAGUCAUGUGAUGCCAAAGGAUCUUUUUGCGCUUACAAAUUAGAUCUGACAAAAGCGUAUGAUCGUGUGGACUGGGACUACCUUGAGGGGGUUUUGAGGAAAUUUGGCUUUGCAGACCAAUGGAUUAGAUGGACGAUGAGUUGUGUGACGUCAGUCAGGUAUGCCGUGAGAAUGAACGGGACUAUCCUCCAGUCCUUUUCGCCUUCUCGGGGCCUGCAUCAAGGUGACCCGUAUUCUCCUUACCUAUUCCUGCUCGUCGCCGAUGGUCUCUCUACUCUGCUAUAA
This 807-nucleotide ribosomal RNA is filed under the name Triticum aestivum (bread wheat). Its description in RNAcentral is "partial small subunit ribosomal RNA". Lineage: Eukaryota; Viridiplantae; Streptophyta; Magnoliopsida; Poales; Poaceae. The record is from RNAcentral.